Aedes aegypti (yellow fever mosquito) is the source of this 419-nucleotide long non-coding RNA. RefSeq lists it as uncharacterized. The transcript has 2 exons. The record is from RefSeq and is a predicted model, not a curated record. Lineage: Eukaryota; Metazoa; Arthropoda; Insecta; Diptera; Culicidae.
GUAGCAUUCAUUACGCCAACCCGUAACACUGACGUGAAAAUCCCGUACCUACUUGAGUUCAUUUUGACAGCUACAGUUGGAGUUCAUUGAGUGAUAAAUCAGUGUCGUGUGUAAUGGGUGCUACCAUUUCCAAUCAUUUUACAGCGUUUAUUAUGCGUUCAAAAGGCCAAAAUGUGUACAGAUUCGGAUUCAGAUCUAGCAAAAUAUUGCGUGGCACAUUCAUUACUUUAAAUAUUCAAAUAAUAUGGCUCUAAUCGUUAUAUACUCGAAGUCACACGGAAUUCAGCAUAACUAGCAUAACAAGGUAAACAUUGUGCCGCAGUGUUAUUUGGAUUUGGAAUGUUACUGGAGCCAAAUAUUUAAUCAUUGACCGCUUUGGCUUGCUUACGUAUAGGUAGUUCCGCAUGCCGAAAUCACAA